CUAGAGCAGUCUCAGCCUGUGGCUGUUGUUCUCAAUCCAGCUCAGAAACUGGCUCAAACCGCCCUGAACCGGAUUUGGUGGCAGUUGAGACACAGUUUCUGCUCUUUGUUAGGGCGGAACCGGCCUCAUUCUGUGCGUUUCUCUCCCUCCCUUUAGCCCAGUGCCGUACAGCAAUCUCCCAUCACCACCCCCCAUCCCCUACCCCACUUUGCCUUUUUUCUCUCUUAUAAAAAAAAACCCAAAACCAUCAAGUGGAUUAAAUUUUUUUAAUGGAUGUAAGCCUUUUGGCUUUAUGAUAUUAGUUAUUUCUGAGUUGUUAUCUAACCAGUUAACAUGGUGCCCCUCAAAUAAUGCUCAGGCAAACCCAGGAAUAACUACGUUUCCCAACACCAACUUAAGGUUUUGGGUCGAGGGCAUUGCUCAUUUCCCUUUUGUUAACUUUAAGGUAAAAUAAAUUUGUUAACUUUUGUCAACACACAGAGUUCGUGAACAGAGCCAUGCCUGUGAGAGCCGAAGGACCCAGAUGGGUUUGGUUUUCCAGCUGUAAUUUUAACCCUGGAUCAGAUGGUGUGAACUGUUGUCCCCUUGAAAAUGCCCAGUUGUGUGUGUAUGCAGUUAUCUCAAGAAAAAGAAUGUCUCGCUUCCUCUCACUCUUUUGUCUCUGAUAAGCAUUUCUGAGAUUUUUGAGAACCCAGGAAGAGACACGAAUAAGCAACCAUGAUUUGGGCGUGGCUCCAUGUGCUGCUUGACGGCUCCCCGUCUGCCCUCUGCUGGCCAGUUCAGUGAGUCAUCACUUCCUCAGGAAAUCUUAAUAUAAAACCACGGAAAUAGCGCCGGCCCAACCCCCAGCUUUUUCAAAUGAGGAAAGGGAAAUCCAAAGGAUGGCAACCACGCCUGAAUAGAGGCUCCUGCCUAUAGGCCCAGCGAUUGGGAGGAGGAGGCAGCAGGAUUGCUUCAAGUUCCAGACCAGCCUGCACUAACUUCACAGUGAAACAAGCCAGGUCUAAAACAAGACAAGACAAAACAAAAGAGCCUGCAGGGGGGGAUGACACACGACAGGGACAACUCUGCCUCAAUCCUGCUUGCUCCUUUCUGGGUUUUUCUAACCAUUUUGAAAAAGAAUGGAAAAGAAAAUUUUCUUUGAUGGCACUCAUUCCUUAUCCUGCCCCCUUGUUUUUGACAAGUCACACCCGGCAACAGAG
Molecule: long non-coding RNA, 1202 nt
Filed under: Cricetulus griseus (Chinese hamster)
Lineage: Eukaryota; Metazoa; Chordata; Mammalia; Rodentia; Cricetidae
Description: lncRNA (ENSCGRG00015032811.1)
Source: RNAcentral